CCUAACACAUGCAAGUCGAACGCUUUUGGGGCUUCGGCCCCGAGGGAGUGGCGCACGGGUGAGUAGCGCGUGGGAACCUGCCCUGUUGUGGGGGAUAACCGAGGGAAACUUCGGCUAACAGACGCAUGCGCCCCUGCGAAAGCAGGGGGAAAGAUUUAUCGCAGCAGGAGGGGCCCGCGUCGGAUUAGCUAGUUGGCGGGGUAACGGCAAACAGGCACCGAUCCGUAGCUGGUCUAAGAGGAUGAUCAGCCACACUGGGACUGAGGAACGGCCCGGAGCCUACGGGAGGCAGCAGUGGGGAAUAUUGGGAAAUGGGCGCAAGCCUGAUCCAGCAAUGCCGCGUGAGUGAUGAAGGCCUUAGGGUUGUAAAGCUCUUUCGCCCGCGACGAUGAUGACGGUAGCGGUAUACAGAAGCCCCGGCUAACUUCGUGCCAGCAGCCGCGGUAACAUAUACAGGGGGCGAGCGUUGUUCGGAGGAACUGGGCGUAAAGGGCGCGUAGGCGGCCCUCCUUGUCGCGUGUGAAAGCCCCGGGCUCAACCUGGGAAUUGCGCGCUAUACCGGGGGGGCUUGAGUUCGGUAUACGGAGCGCGGAAUUCCCAGUGUAGAGGUGAAAUUCGUAGAUAUUGGGAAGAACACCGGUGGCGAAGGCGGCGCUCUGGACCGAGACUGACGCUGAGGCGCGAAAGCGUGGGGAGCAAACAGGAUUAGGAA
RNAcentral lists this ribosomal RNA (712 nucleotides) under uncultured bacterium. RNAcentral's name for it is "bacterial SSU rRNA". It matches the Rfam family "Bacterial small subunit ribosomal RNA", at positions 47 to 784 of the family's 1533-position model. The record is from RNAcentral.